This 78-nucleotide transfer RNA is filed under the name Candidatus Bathyarchaeota archaeon. RNAcentral describes it as "tRNA-Met". It matches the Rfam family "tRNA". From Rfam's summary of the family: Transfer RNA (tRNA) molecules are approximately 80 nucleotides in length. Their secondary structure includes four short double-helical elements and three loops (D, anti-codon, and T loops). Lineage: Archaea; Thermoproteati; Candidatus Bathyarchaeota. The record is from RNAcentral.
AGCGGGGUGGGGUAGCCAGGUGAACCCGCUGGGCUCAUAACCCAGAGAUCCCUGGUUCAAAUCCAGGCCCCGCUACCA